RNAcentral lists this ribosomal RNA (491 nucleotides) under uncultured bacterium. RNAcentral describes it as "partial 16S ribosomal RNA". It matches the Rfam family "Bacterial small subunit ribosomal RNA", at positions 28 to 507 of the family's 1533-position model. The record is from RNAcentral.
GAUGAACGCUAGCUACAGGCUUAACACAUGCAAGUCGCGGGGCAGCAUGGGGGUUGCUUGCCACCCCUGAUGGCGACCGGCGCACGGGUGAGUAACGCGUAUCCAACCUGCCCUUCACCACGGGAUAACCCGGCGAAAGUCGGACUAAUACCGUAUGUUUUCCAUUGACGGCACCCGAUUUGGAGGAAAGGCUGGGCGGAGUAAGGAUGGGGAUGCGUCCGAUUAGCAUGACGGCGGGGUAACGGCCCACCGUGGCUACGAACGGUAGGGGUUCUGAGAGGAAGGUCCCCCACACUUGAACUGAGACACGGUCCAGACUCCUACGGGAGGCAGCAGUGAGGAAUAUUGGUCAAUGGGCGUAAGCCUGAACCAGCCAAGUAGCGUGCAGGAUGACGGCCCUAUGGGUUGUAAACUGCUUUUAUGCGGGGAUAAAGUGGCCCACGUGUGGGCUUUUGCAGGUACCGCAUGAAUAAGGACCGGCUAAUUCCGUG